RNAcentral lists this ribosomal RNA (409 nucleotides) under uncultured microorganism. RNAcentral describes it as "bacterial SSU rRNA". It matches the Rfam family "Bacterial small subunit ribosomal RNA", at positions 9 to 414 of the family's 1533-position model. The record is from RNAcentral.
GAGUUUGAUCAUGGCUCAGAUUGAACGCUGGCGGCAUGCCUUACACAUGCAAGUCGAACGGCAGCAUGAUCUAGCUUGCUAGAUUGAUGGCGAGUGGCGAACGGGUGAGUAAUACAUCGGAACGUGCCCUGUAGUGGGGGAUAACUAGUCGAAAGAUUAGCUAAUACCGCAUACGACCUGAGGGUGAAAGUGGGGGACCGCAAGGCCUCAUGCUAUAGGAGCGGCCGAUGUCUGAUUAGCUAGUUGGUGGGGUAAAGGCCCACCAAGGCGACGAUCAGUAGCUGGUCUGAGAGGACGAUCAGCCACACUGAGACUGAGACACGGCCCAGACUCCUACGGGAGGCAGCAGUGGGGAAUUUUGGACAAUGGGCGAAAGCCUGAUCCAGCAAUGCCGCGUGUGUGAAGAAGG